RNAcentral lists this long non-coding RNA (356 nucleotides) under Fukomys damarensis (Damara mole-rat). Its description in RNAcentral is "lncRNA (ENSFDAG00000023899.1)". The record is from RNAcentral. Lineage: Eukaryota; Metazoa; Chordata; Mammalia; Rodentia; Bathyergidae.
AAACAACAUUCAAGAACAAAACCAACCAGGAGUGGAACCAAAGGAAGCAACAGAGAAAUAGCAAAAUGAAGACUUCAUCUACUGGACAUGCACAUAUGGAUACAUGAUCAGAUCUCCUGUAUAACCACUUGCUGUUGGGUGAGGAUCACGCACAAUCCUGCAAAGGAGGAGGCAGGGAAGCCCUCGCUCCAUCGUGAUCGUGUGACAUUUGCUAUCAGGGACUUGCAAUUUUUAAUAAAUUGUCAGAACUAGAAUGUGGGCUCCAGUGCAAAGUGAAAUCUUGGGAGGAAAAUGAAAGGUAUGUUUUACCAUACAUCUUUCAGAAAGAAGAGUGUUUAAAAUACAGAUAACAUUCU